CCUACGGGGGGCAGCAGUGAGGAAUAUUGGUCAAUGGACGAGAGUCUGAACCAGCCAAGUAGCGUGAAGGAUGACUGCCCUAUGGGUUGUAAACCUCUUUUAUAAAGGAAUAAAACGAGGCACGUGUGCCUUUUUGCAUGUACUUUAUGAAUAAGGAUCGGCUAACUCCGUGCCAGCAGCCGCGGUAAUACGGGAGAUCCGAGCGUUAUCCGGAUUUAUUGGGUUUAAAGGGAGCGUAGAUGGGUUGUUAAGUCAGUUGUGAAAGUUUGAGGCUCAACCGUAAAAUUGCAAUUGAUACUGGCAGUCGUGAGUACAGUUGAGGUAGGCGGAAUUCGUGGUGUAGCGGUGAAAUGCUUAGAUAUCACGAAGAACCCCGAUUGCGAAGGCAGCUUACUAGACUGUGACUGACAUUGAUGCUCGAAAGUGUGGGUAUCAAACAGGAUUAGAUACCCUGGUAGUC
Molecule: ribosomal RNA, 460 nt
Filed under: uncultured bacterium
Lineage: Bacteria
Description: partial 16S ribosomal RNA
Rfam family: Bacterial small subunit ribosomal RNA
Source: RNAcentral